RNAcentral lists this ribosomal RNA (1319 nucleotides) under Triticum aestivum (bread wheat). Its description in RNAcentral is "partial small subunit ribosomal RNA". Lineage: Eukaryota; Viridiplantae; Streptophyta; Magnoliopsida; Poales; Poaceae. The record is from RNAcentral.
AGCAGAAUGAGAGGUUCCGCUUGCUCCAAAGACCUCGUCAACCAUUCUGCUCUUCUGGCUACUGUUCUUCCCACAACUGUGGAGCCAGCCCCCUUCCACCCCUCCCACACCCCACACCCCACACCCGGCGGCGCGCGCGGCGAUGGUGCCCCUCGCUCGCCGUGGACUGCCGGCGGCGGCGACGAUGUAAGGCAGCCAACCAAGUACUGGAGUACGAUUUAUUCUCUCAAAUAUUCAUUACGGCAAUUACUACCACCCAAUUGAUUUCCCCCAAUUGUCACCCUUCAUUGUUUCUGACAAGUAUCUGGAAUCAGUCUACAGUGUAGUUGUUGAUAAUGCUUGUUCAUGGUGACAUACUUAGCAUAUGCAGAUAUGCUCUUUUACCGAAAAAACCGCCACAGAGCACCCAUACAAGGACUAGUUCACAACACACACGCACCCAUGUCUCACAAAAGGAAAUACAAUAGGUUCUGCUGAGGGCACACCUCAACAAGCCCAAACAAAAGAGAAAAGAGAGGCCGGAGAACGAGUCCGGCCCCUAAUCCGGCUCCGGAGGCGGCGGAGGGAGCGGCGGCGACAAACGUACAACCAUCGAGCUGAGGUUGGCGAUGAAGGCAGAGAUGGCGUCCCGGUCUUGGGGGCGGCGCCUUGGUGGUCGAACCUGCAAAAUCGCAUCCAAAGAUCAUGAAUACAGCGUGGCGCAACGGAGCGCACCAUUCUGUCUAGUUCAUUUUCUUUAUCAUAUGGUUACUGCUUUCAGUUUUUGCUGUUGUAACUUGCUACCUUACUCUGUUCUAAGUCUGAUUUUGGAUCUAUGCAUGCUACAUCCCCUGUCUUCUUGAGCAACGAUAAUACAUUGAUGCAACGAGGAGACACAUUGCCGGCUCUCACUUGUGCCCGCCACCAUCGAUGUUUGUUCUAGAAGGGAUGAUGCACCAAGCUGGAUGGGGAGCAGUGGGUUAGCUUGGACCAAUGACAGUAGUGGUGAGGCAUUCAUAUGGAAGUUUAUCUCAUUACACUGGACGAGAGUCAACGACUGUUAACAGGCUUCUUGAUGUCGCCCGUUCCGAAGAAGCAAAGCCAAACAAAUUCCUGCCUCCCCUUGGGCAUAUAAGACGCGCAUGCGUUCUUGUCGAGAGAGGAUUGCGUAUAGAUAUUUAUAGAUGUAGAAUAGUAAGAAAGAGUCGCAAAAAAGCGAGGAAAGUUAUGAGGUGGAAACAUUUAAGAACCUAGAUGCAUAUAAUUAAUUGAAGGUACUGCUCCGUCAAAACUUUACGAGAGACUUUGCGCAUGAUAGGUAGGCUCCAUCAACAGACCAG